Scleropages formosus (Asian bonytongue) is the source of this 1146-nucleotide long non-coding RNA. The record is from Ensembl. NCBI's taxonomy places the organism in Eukaryota, Metazoa, Chordata, Actinopteri, Osteoglossiformes, Osteoglossidae.
GCUGGUUCGUCAUAAUCGGAAAGCCUAGGGAGACGCUGCAGCGGGUCGGGCUGUGCUGUAAGCGGUCAGUCGGACAGCAGCAGCAGCAGCAGCAGCGAGCGCUGGCGGUGCUGUGGGGAGGGUCCGUGUCCCGAUUCGGCCGGACUUUGGCCACUGUCCCUUCAGAACCACCGCUCCGAAAUUAUUCUCAUACGUGCUGCCUUUGUUUGUCCAGGAAACCGUGAGAUCACGCAACGGUGAACAUCGCAUAAACAAUCGGGAAAAACCGAAGCGUUGCUACGAACUUUACAUUUCCCUCGAAUUAGUGUGAAACAAAGCGGUGAUUAAAAGUUGGAAUUGGUCAUUAGGUGCGUCAAUCUCCGCGUCUUCGCCCUCAAACCGAUGUCGGUCGCCUGUCGUCCAGCGCUCUCUCUGAUUGGUUAGUCGCAGCUCUCAGGGACCCUCUAUUGGUCCACCGCCCGUCCGUCAUAGCAUCGUGGGCGGGACUUUGAGGCCUCGGCUCCCGAGAGGCGAGAAAAAGCUAAAGCUGCACUUUUCCAGUGUUCUGUUGCAGAAGCUACCGCUGAGUCUCGCGCACUCACGCUGUCGCGCACUCGCUCGCAGUUCGUAGCGUCUCGCCGGCGGAAUCCCGGAAAAGAGCGGUGUCCGCGGGGAGGGGGGAGGAAAGGCAGCACUCGGCGCGCGAGGACACACUGACUGCACGGCACAGCGUCGCGAGCCCUCACCUGGAUAAACUCGUGCGCCCGCGUGCGGGGAGAAAAGAAGGGGCGGACGGAAAGAAGAAGCAAGUCGAGCAUCUCUCCGCGCCGGUUCGGGUGAAGGAAACGAGAAGAAUAUGAUCGUGAAAGGGCACCUGCUCUUUGCCCUCUACAGCAUCUGCGGGAUCGUUCUGAGAGGUUCCUUCGAGCAUCUUAAGAUCUGCACUGUGCCUGUUACUGCACUGGCCAUAAAGAAAACUGUAUCUUCACUCCGUUUUCCUAUUCAUUAAUAUCCAUUCCACCUGCAGCGUCCUGCAGUAUUUUGAAAUUAAGCAUCGUUUUUACUCUUUCCUAAAGGUACGGUGAGGCUCUCUCACAUCCAUAUUUGGAAGCCAUCUUUGCCUGCUCUUCUCUGCGGACCCAUGUCAUUCCACAUCCCUGAGAGUCC